RNAcentral lists this transfer RNA (76 nucleotides) under bacterium. RNAcentral describes it as "tRNA-Val". It matches the Rfam family "tRNA". From Rfam's summary of the family: Transfer RNA (tRNA) molecules are approximately 80 nucleotides in length. Their secondary structure includes four short double-helical elements and three loops (D, anti-codon, and T loops). Further hydrogen bonds mediate the characteristic L-shaped molecular structure. tRNAs have two regions of fundamental functional importance: the anti-codon, which is responsible for specific mRNA codon recognition, and the 3' end, to which the tRNAs corresponding amino acid is attached (by aminoacyl-tRNA synthetases). tRNAs cope with the degeneracy of the genetic code in two manners: having more than one tRNA (with a specific anti-codon) for a particular amino acid; and 'wobble' base-pairing, i.e. permitting non-standard base-pairing at the 3rd anti-codon position. RNAcentral also lists the same sequence under 3 other names. The record is from RNAcentral.
GGGCGAAUAGCUCAGUGGUUAGAGCGCCUGCCUUACAAGCAGGAGGCCACAGGUUCAAGUCCUGUUUCGCCCACCA